UGAAAAUAAAGUGUUGUUAAAACGUGUUUCCUGUAGUAUAAAUAACAUCACCACCUACACCAUGGAAGUCGUGGUCAUCAUCCUUGUGAAAGAAGAAGGAAGCAAAAAAAGAAAAUGGCCGAUGGCAGCACAGCUACCUGCUUCGAUAUCCUCAUUUCCAUCAUCCUCCCUCCUCUUGGAGUUUUUCUCAAGUAUGGCUGCAAGUUAGAGUUCUGGAUCUGUUUGCUGCUCACCAUUCUCGGCUACAUUCCUGGAAUUAUCUAUGCUGUCUAUGCCAUCACCAAGUGAAACUCAUCAUAUUCAUCAUCCACCUUUUCUAAGUGGACAGUGAUUGAGUUUCAGAGGAGCGUCAUCAUUUGAUCUUCGGUGGACUCACGUGAUGCUUUCGUUUUCGGUUUAUCAGUGUCAAUAUUCCGUUUCCGUGUUGUGUUUUUUCAUUACUGUUAUUUCCUUAUGUGGAACCAAAUAUGGACCUUGUGUCCUCUAAUUUUAACGCAUGCUUAUCAAAUUGAAUUCGUAAUAGUUAUCUUCUUCCUCUUCUUUCGUAUAUAUUAAUGUAUUCUCUAAAUUUUCUUCGUAUUUAAAAG
RNAcentral lists this small RNA (587 nucleotides) under Vigna angularis var. angularis. RNAcentral's name for it is "Non-protein coding transcript". The record is from RNAcentral. Lineage: Eukaryota; Viridiplantae; Streptophyta; Magnoliopsida; Fabales; Fabaceae.